AGAGUUUGAUCAUGGCUCAGGAUGAACGCUGGCGGCGUGCCUAACACAUGCAAGUCGAGCGAUUCUCUUCGGAGAAGAGCGGCGGACGGGUGAGUAACGCGUGGGUAACCUGCCCUGUACACACGGAUAACAUACCGAAAGGUAUGCUAAUACGAGAUAAUAUGCUUUUAUCGCAUGGUAGAAGUAUCAAAGCUUUUGCGGUACAGGAUGGACCCGCGUCUGAUUAGCUAGUUGGUAAGGUAACGGCUUACCAAGGCGACGACCAGUAGCCGACCUGAGAGGGUGAUCGGCCACAUUGGAACUGAGACACGGUCCAAACUCCUACGGGAGGCAGCAGUGGGGAAUAUUGCACAAUGGGCGAAAGCCUGAUGCAGCAACGCCGCGUGAGCGAUGAAGGCCUUCGGGUCGUAAAGCUCUGUCCUCAAGGAAGAUAAUGACGGUACUUGAGGAGGAAGCCCCGGCUAACUACGUGCCAGCAGCCGCGGUAAUACGUAGGGGGCUAGCGUUAUCCGGAAUUACUGGGCGUAAAGGGUGCGUAGGUGGUUUCUUAAGUCAGAGGUGAAAGGCUACGGCUCAACCGUAGUAAGCCUUUGAAACUGGGAAACUUGAGUGCAGGAGAGGAGAGUGGAAUUCCUAGUGUAGCGGUGAAAUGCGUAGAUAUUAGGAGGAACACCAGUUGCGAAGGCGGCUCUCUGGACUGUAACUGACACUGAGGCACGAAAGCGUGGGGAGCAAACAGGAUUAGAUACCCUGGUAGUCCACGCCGUAAACGAUGAGUACUAGCUGUCGGAGGUUACCCCCUUCGGUGGCGCAGCUAACGCAUUAAGUACUCCGCCUGGAAGUACGCUCGCAAGAGUGAAACUCAAAGGAAUUGACGG
This 878-nucleotide ribosomal RNA is filed under the name uncultured bacterium. Its description in RNAcentral is "bacterial SSU rRNA". It matches the Rfam family "Bacterial small subunit ribosomal RNA", at positions 8 to 916 of the family's 1533-position model. The record is from RNAcentral.